AUCCACCCAUCUACAGAGAAUCAUUUCUAUAGUAAAUCGUCCCACCUGAUUUUUUCGCAUUAGCGACUGAAUCCCCAACCUUGCUGAUGACCACCAUGUCCACAGUGCCCUAGAGUGAAACCUGUUAUACUCUCGUCCGCAUCGCUACGGGUUAUAUGAUGCUGGAGGCUUCGGCCACUGUUUCGUAUACUUGUCUCGAUCAAGGGAGUGGUGAUGAUCUUGACCUUGCCCUGGCGUCUUGACUUCGGUCGGCCUGGUUUGGUGGGCACUGUGGAGGUCUGAAAGGU
The sequence is a small nucleolar RNA, 287 nucleotides long. It matches the Rfam family "Fungal small nucleolar RNA U3". From Rfam's summary of the family: Small nucleolar RNAs (snoRNAs) are involved in the processing and modification of rRNA in the nucleolus. There are two main classes of snoRNAs: the box C/D class, and the box H/ACA class. The record is from Rfam.